This 492-nucleotide ribosomal RNA is filed under the name uncultured bacterium. RNAcentral describes it as "partial 16S ribosomal RNA". It matches the Rfam family "Bacterial small subunit ribosomal RNA", at positions 29 to 507 of the family's 1533-position model. The record is from RNAcentral.
AGUGAACGCUGGCGGUAGGCCUAACACAUGCAAGUCGAACGGCAGCACAGUAAGAGCUUGCUCUUACGGGUGGCGAGUGGCGGACGGGUGAGGAAUACAUCGGAAUCUACUUUUUCGUGGGGGAUAACGUAGGGAAACUUACGCUAAUACCGCAUACGCCCUACGGGUGAAAGCAGGGGAUCUUCGGACCUUGCGCGAUUGAAUGAGCCGAUGUCGGAUUAGCUAGUUGGCGGGGUAAAUGCCCACCAAGGCGACGAUCCGUAGCUGGUCUGAGAGGAUGAUCAGCCACACUGGAACUGAGACACGGUCCAGACUCCUACGGGAGGCAGCAGUGGGGAAUAUUGGACAAUGGGCGCAAGCCUGAUCCAGCCAUACCGCGUGGGUGAAGAAGGCCUUCGGGUUGUAAAGCCCUUUUGUUGGGAAAGAAAAGCAGCAGGUUAAUACCCCGCUGUUCUGACGGUACCCAAAGAAUAAGCACCGGCUAACUUCGUG